UACGGAGGGGGCUAGCGUUGUUCGGAAUUACUGGGCGUAAAGCGCGCGUAGGCGGACCUGCAAGUCGGGGGUGAAAGCCCGAGGCUCAACCUAGGAACUGCCUUCGAUACUGCGGGUCUCGAGUCCGGGAGAGGUGAGUGGAAUUCCUAGUGUAGAGGUGAAAUUCGUAGAUAUUAGGAAGAACACCAGUGGCGAAGGCGGCUCACUGGCUCGGUACUGACGCUGAGGCGCGAAAGCGUGGGGAGCAAACAGG
RNAcentral lists this ribosomal RNA (253 nucleotides) under uncultured bacterium. Its description in RNAcentral is "partial 16S ribosomal RNA". It matches the Rfam family "Bacterial small subunit ribosomal RNA", at positions 524 to 776 of the family's 1533-position model. The record is from RNAcentral.